RNAcentral lists this ribosomal RNA (615 nucleotides) under Russula disparilis. RNAcentral's name for it is "eukaryotic LSU rRNA". The stretch from base 288 to 441 matches the Rfam family "5.8S ribosomal RNA". The record is from RNAcentral. Lineage: Eukaryota; Fungi; Basidiomycota; Agaricomycetes; Russulales; Russulaceae.
CUUGGUCAUUUAGAGGAAGUAAAAGUCGUAAACAAGGUUYCCGUARGUGGARCCUSCGGAAAGGAWCCMUUAUCGUMCAAYGGAGGUGCYCGGGGUUGUCGCUGACUUUUGAAACGGUCGUGCACGCCUCGGUACUCUCACAUACAAUCCAUCUCACCCCUCUUGUGCAUCACCGCGUGGAGGCCCCUUUUGGCUAGUUCUAAAGGGGGUUUUCGCGUUUUUAUACAUACACCGUUUUAAUGCAAUGCGUAGAAUGUCAUACUUUUGCGAUCACACGCAAUUAAUACAACUUUCAACAACGGAUCUCUUGGCUCUCGCAUCGAUGAAGAACGCAGCGAAAUGCGAUACGUAAUGUGAAUUGCAGAAUUCAGUGAAUCAUCGAAUCUUUGAACGCACCUUGCGCCCUUUGGUAUUCCGAAGGGCACACCCGUUUGAGUGUCGUGACAUCCUCAAACCUUCUUGGUUUCUUGACCAGGAAAGGCUUUGGACUCUGGAGGUUUUUGCUGGCCCUUACUUUUGKUGAAGCCAGCCUCCUCUAAAAAUGGAAUUAAGUGGGGAUCUGCUUUGCGGGAUACUUGGACGGKGAUAAAGAUAUUUCUACGUCYUUGGRUCUCG